Molecule: ribosomal RNA, 406 nt
Filed under: uncultured bacterium
Lineage: Bacteria
Description: partial 16S ribosomal RNA
Rfam family: Bacterial small subunit ribosomal RNA
Source: RNAcentral
AUUGAACGCUGGCGGCAGGCCUACAACAUGCAAGUCGAACGAGUGGCGGACGGGUGAGUAAUGUCUGGGAAACUGCCUGAUGGAGGGGGAUAACUCCUGGAAACGGUAGCUAAUACCGCAUACCAUCAGAUGUGCCCAGAGGGGAUUAGCUAGUUGGUGGGGGAACGGCUCUCCAAGGCGACGCUCCCUAGCUGGGCUGCGCGGAUGACCAGCCACACUGGAACUGAGACACGGUCAAGACGCCUACGGGAGGCAGCAGUGGGGAAGAUUGCAUAAUGGGCGCAAGCCUGAUGCAGCCAUGCCGCGGGUAUGAAGAAGGCCUUCGGGUUGUAAAGUACUUUCAGCGGGGAGGCGUUACCCGCAGAAGAAGCACCGGCUAACUCCGUGCCAGCCGCCGCGGUAAUAC